This 523-nucleotide ribosomal RNA is filed under the name uncultured organism. RNAcentral's name for it is "SSU rRNA". It matches the Rfam family "Bacterial small subunit ribosomal RNA", at positions 1 to 509 of the family's 1533-position model. The record is from RNAcentral.
CAACAGCUAGAGUUUGAUCCUGGCUACAGGACGAACGCUGGCGGCGUGCCUAACACAUGCAAGUCGAGCGGAGACAUAUUGUGAAGUGGACGGCUUCGGUCAGAAGCGGAACGAUAUGUUUUAGCGGCGGACGGGUGAGUAACGCGUGAGCAACCUGGCCUUCACAGGGGGAUAACACAUCGAAAGGUGUACUAAUACCGCAUAAGACCACAACAGGACAUCCUGCAGGGGUCAAAGGAGGAAUCCGGUGAAGGGUGGGCUCGCGUCCGAUUAGAUAGUUGGUGAGGUAACGGCCCACCAAGUCGACGAUCGAUAGCCGACCUGAGAGGGUGAUCGGCCACAUUGGGACUGAGACACGGCCCAAACUCCUACGGGAGGCAGCAGUGGGGAAUAUUGGGCAAUGGGGGGAACCCUGACCCAGCAACGCCGCGUGAGGGAAGAAGGUUUUCGGAUCGUAAACCUCUGUCCUUGGUGAAGAGGAAGAGACGGUAGCCAAGGAGGAAGCCCCGGCUAACUACGUGCC